This 4279-nucleotide unclassified non-coding RNA is filed under the name Leishmania donovani. RNAcentral's name for it is "gene:LdHU3.27.2460(CDS-product:hypothetical_prote in_conserved)". The record is from RNAcentral. Lineage: Eukaryota; Euglenozoa; Kinetoplastea; Trypanosomatida; Trypanosomatidae.
CAGCGAGAGCGCACGCACGUGUACGGACAUCAGCAGAUACAGACGCUUCUGUAUCCACGUCACUCUCGUGACGUCGUCUAAACGCUUCUUGAUGUGCACCGGGAUUUCGUCCCUCUUGCCCUUCACUCACUCCGUGCGGAGAUGCCAGCAUAGACAAGACGCCACACUUGGAAGCAGAUAUUUUUAUCAACACAGGUAUGGCUGUUUUGUAUUCCUCUUCGCUUGAAGUCUCAUCCGGUUCACACUGGCACUUCACCCCCCCCCUGCACGCCCACACACACUUCUUCAAUCCCAGUAAAGGGCGCACAGAUUUGUUCUUGCGCUACACAGAGUCGGUGCGGUUGCGCACCGCUCCCGUUGCGUGCACCCCUUUCCGCUGGCAUCACCACAACUGCAUAAAGAAAGCCCGAGGGCCGACAAGGUGCCGACCAUCGGCGCAUGCAAGAUAUACAUCGGCAUUCGGAGCUCCCCACUGCUCCCUCAGCCUGCCUUUUUCUCCCUCCCUCACUCGCUCGACGGCAUCGACUCGCUGGUGAUCGUGCUUUCGUGCGUUUUUAUUUUUGCUCCUCUUGUUUUGUUGGUUCACGCAUUGCCCCCCCCCCUCUCCUCCCCCACUUUCGUUUUGGUUUUCUGCUGCCUGCUCGCCGUUCUUAUCCUUGUCACUUUUUCCCUUCGAUAUUACAUUAUCUCUCCUCCUCGUCCUCCUUCUCCGUGUUUGCAUCGUCUCUCCAGCACCGCUGCGGUUGGGAAAGCGUGUACACCCCACCACCCCUACCACCAUCUCACCCCGAAGCACGCAAACUGGAGGCACGCGCACAUCCGCUUCCUCUGCGGCUUUUGCUUUUCUUUGCUUCCAUCACGCACAGAGAGGGAGAGGUCAGGGCACGAGCAAGAGAGCAGAAAAAUAGAAUAGUAAACGGUAUCGCUUCCAGCAUACAAAACCCGUGGCGCAUUUGGCUAGGAGCGUCCCCUUGGCUUUUUGCCGCCAUCGUCUCACGCACGCAUCGAAUACCGCGCACAUCGCCGCUAGCUUCCUUUUGGUGUGUGUGUGUGUGUUCUCUUCCCUCUGACGGUGCGCAAGCGCAGACUUUUUUUUCUUCGCAUUCCCUUUGCUCGGCUGGCUAUCCUGCGAGCCCACGUCUUUAUUUGUUCCACCGCUUCACGCGGGUGGGGUGGGGGUGGGGGUGGCCUUCGUCGUCUUGUUUUUCUUUUGUUCGUUGUUGCUGUUGCCGGUCGCGCUUGCUCUACUUGGUUCUCUCCUGCCUUUGGAAGGGCAAAGGCACGCUCACUGCUCGCCCCUUCCUCUCCAGCCGUGGCUGAUUGAUGGAAAGACAUCAUAAAAGGCGGCGCCGAAGCGGACAGAGCGCCACGCGCGCGAGCUCACUGCAUGUUGCACACAAGGAAGCACUCGCUCACUCGGUCCUCGUGAGGUAGGGCAUUGCUUCGGGAGAUCGGUACGCCAGCGAAGGCGUCUCCAUCGACGGUGGCCUCGAGAUCUCGACGCUCCCGCUCACAGGCACCCGCCAUGGCGGCCUUCGGAGACGCCCCCUUUUUCGAUGCACCAGCCGCGAGCAACGUGGCGCUUGGGCAGACCACAAAUCAGUCCUUCUUGUCGUGUGUAGAGAACGACCUGGAUCUGCCCCAGGACCGUCCAGCCACAGGUUCGCCGUCUGAGGGGAGCCUUGACAGACGGAGGAAGGCCUAUCGUCGCAGCUUUCUCCCCACGCUUGGCGACGCGGCGCCAUCGUCUGGCGUGCGCAGCCUCGGGACCGCCAACUGCGUCGUAAUGGCCGACGUGGAGAUGCCUAGCCCAAACAGCGGGCCCCGAAGCAGUCGCGCGACAGUCCUGCAACCAUCGCUCCCGCCACGUCUCGUUCAGGUGGGGCAUGCCAACCCGUCUGCAGAAUCCAUGAUGGAGUUGUCUGUCAGGAGUCGCCCGUUUUACGGCACGGAGACGCCGCCGGCGCAGACCGACGCGGACGAGGAGUACGGCUCGCAGGAACCGCUGGCAGACAGCUCGGGUGCCACCCACCAUUAUGGUGGAAUAGAGCUCUCCAUGGAUGGUGUGACGCUGCGCAGACGAAAGCCUUGGUGGCUGCGGCACCGCAUGGUGACACAGCUCGACAGCUGCAGUCUACGCAUCCCCCCAGGCUCGGUGCACUGCAUCACGUCCCUCAGUUCCACGUACAGCCGCUGCGCACUGGCGGUGUUGGCAGGUGUUCGCGCUGUCGCACACGCCGAAGGGGCGGCGCUGGCGAACGCGUACCCCACUACAGUGCUCCGCUACCGCCGUCAAGUUGGGUAUGUGACCUCGCUAGACGGCAUUCUCCUGGAGGCUACUGUGUUUGAGAAUCUGCUCUUCGCCACCCAACUCCGGUUCCACGUGGACGCACAGACGGAGCGGGAGCUGAUUCGCAAAGCAGCGGCGGAUGCGCUGCUGACGGACUACUUGGACAUCCGCGCCUCUCUGCUAAACCCGGCUCGCCGGUAUCUGCUGGCGCUCGCCAUGGAGCUUGUGGCGGAGCCUAUCGUUCUGCUCCUUGAAGACCCUCUCUCGUUCUUCUCGCUAGCCCAUCUGCAGCUGUUUGUUCGCAUGCUGCAUCGUCUGCGCCACCGUAACCCAAGCGGCACCGUUGUGUGGAGCGGCUCGGCGAUUCCGUGGACCCUCUUCGACGACAUCGACAGCCUCACGCUGCUAAGCACGGAGGGCAGGACAUUCUACACCGGUCACAAGAAGGAUGUGGAGGCCUUCUUGCAGGAGGACCUCGGCAUCCUGCGCGUACCCGGCGAAGACGUUGUGGACAUCAUGGCCCAGACGGAGGUGGACACGCUUGCCGUGACGCGCGCGUCCUUCUUGUUCCGGAACAGCCGGUAUCACCGCCAGCUGCAGCAGGGCCUGCAGGCGCACCGUGCCCGCAUCGCGACGAACGCCUUUGCCACGCUCCCCGACACUACCCGUGCCCCGCCCCGCUACCUGCGCGUACAGUGGCUUCUGCUGGCGUACGCGCUGCGUGGCAACGUGCUGGGUAGGGUGGCGCUCGUGCUGUGGGCGGGACUCUUUGUUGUCAUUCUUCUUGUGUGCGCUAUCGUGGCGCUUACAGACGGCGAGGGGCAGGGCAAUAUGCAAAACGUGCGUGGCACACUCUUCUUGUUGCUCUCGUGCUCUGUCCAGAUCAACUCCAUUUUUCUGAAGGCAGAGCUGCGAAACUGGCGUAUGUUUCAGCUGCUCAAGAAGAAUCUGUACAUCUCCGUCACCCCCUACUUCGUGGCCACAAUUGUGCGUGUCGCUGCACCGCGUCUGUGCUUCGCGCUCGCUGGCUGGAUCUGCGCAGCUGUUAUUUUCCAGAAGGCCGCCGUCGUGUCCCUCAGUAUUACGAUGGCGCUCACCAGCUUCACACAUGCCUGUCUCGGACUCGUGGCGGUGUAUUGGUUUCCGCGCUUCGACUACCUGCUGCUGCUCAAUCAAAUCUACUAUGGCUACUGCGUCAUCAUCAGCGGCUUUCUUGUAAGCCUCACCUCCAUCCCGCGGUUCUUGCAGUUUCUCUCCAUUCUUCGCAUCGGCUACGGCGGCUUGCUGGCGGCAGAGCUGCGCGGCCGCACCUUCGGCUGCGACUCCGCGUCGUCGGGAUCCGAGAUGGAGUCUGGUAGCCGCAUCAGCAGUCGCGCCAGUGCCUUUCUUGCACCGUCCGCAUCGUGCUACACCGGCCAGCAGUACUUGGAUUUUAUUGGGCUCUCGGACGACAGCUGGGGCAUGUCGGUGCUGAUUCUGUUGGCUCUGUCUGUCGGUAUCACGAUCACGCUGGGGGUUAGCAUGCACAUCACCUCCGGCGCAACGCUUCUCUCCUCCACAUGAGCGCGGAGUGUCGGAAACGUGAAACCCGUCGACAUGCAAGAUGAAAAGCUACAAGACCGCCUGUGUGUUGGUGUGUAUCGAAAUGAACCGACGUGUUCAUCUCUUGGUCCUCCUCGUCUUGCCAGAGCUGCUGCGGAUUUUGGUGUUUCUUGCUUCGGUGAAGGAGUGAAGUCCGGAUGAGUCUGUUACGCAAAAGUGCCACCCACCCACCCCCUCUGCUCCAACCUGUGCGUGUGCGCCGUGGCGUCGCUGCGCUUUUCUUUUUCUGCGUGUUUGUUCUCUGGAUCGCUUCCCUGUCUUUCGCUACCGUCCUUCGCUACGUCAACGCUAGCAUCGGCCUGCCUCGUUCAACUGGACUUUGGUAUUGCCGGUGUGUGCCGUCUACGGACACUGCUGCAUCCACGCUGACGCCUUGGUGUCGCUCCU